Molecule: ribosomal RNA, 81 nt
Filed under: Listeria monocytogenes
Lineage: Bacteria; Bacillati; Bacillota; Bacilli; Caryophanales; Listeriaceae
Also listed under: 1 other name
Source: RNAcentral
CAUCCCGAACACGGUAGUUAAGCUUCUCUGCGCCAAUGGUAGUUGGGGGCUUCCCCCUGCGAGAGUAGGUCGCUGCCGGGC